GCAGAUCAGCCGGCAGGUGGGCCUCAGAGAAACGUGAACUUGGAAGGACAGUCUUGGAAUGGAAAUAGCCUCCCAGCCAGUCUCCCUGUCUUCCGCUGUCACUCCACCUUUCUGCUGUCCUAGGGCUCAGCAGCUCACUUGCGCCCAACUCUUUUGUGAUUCCACAGACUGCAGUCCUCCAGGCUCCUCUGCCCAUGGAAUUUUCCAGGGACCACACCUUGAGGCAUGCAGGAUCCCAGUUCCUUGACCAAGGAUUGAACCUGUGCCCCCUGCAAUGGAAGCACCGAGCCUCAACCACUGAACCGCCAAGAAAGUCCCUAGUGAUUCACAAUUUUCAAAGAUUAUAUACAAUUUUAAAGAUUGAUGGAGAGCUUAGAAACCCAAUACCACAUGUAGCAUUGCUUCUGUGGGAAAUGUGUUCUUUAUCCUGAAACACUGAUCUUCCACUGAGCCUCCAGCCACUUCUAAAGUGCAUCUUUGAGCAAACAAGAAGUAUGUCUGCCUGUAGG
Molecule: long non-coding RNA, 509 nt
Organism: Bos taurus (domestic cattle)
Lineage: Eukaryota; Metazoa; Chordata; Mammalia; Artiodactyla; Bovidae
Source: Ensembl